Molecule: ribosomal RNA, 379 nt
Filed under: Thraustochytrium sp.
Lineage: Eukaryota; Bigyra; Thraustochytrida; Thraustochytriidae
Description: partial small subunit ribosomal RNA
Rfam family: Eukaryotic small subunit ribosomal RNA
Source: RNAcentral
AUUCCAGCUCCAAUAGCGUACACUAAAGUUGUUGCAGUUAAAAAGCUCGUAGUCUAAUGUAUGGGAGUUGCGGUGUGGGUGUUUCGUUGGUUUCGCCGACUAGACAAUACUCGCUCCGCUUCCCGCUUGUUUUGCUCUCUUUUAAAGAAGGCAAAUGUUUCACUGUAAGUAAAACAACUCGCUCAACAGCAAGGUUAUCUUGAUAUGAAUUAGUAUGGGAUGAUGAGAUAGGCUCGGUCCGUAUUUUGUUGGUUUUAGUGGUCUGAGAAUGAUGAAGAGGGACAAUUGGGGGUAUUCGUAUUUACAUGUCAGAGGUGGAAUUCUUGGAUUUUGGAAAGACGAACUAAUGCGAAAGCAUCUACCAAAGAUGUUUUCAUUA